AUGCUUGCUUUGGCAGCACAUAUAUUAAAAUUGGAACAAUACAGAGAAGAUUAUCAUGGCCCCUGUGCAAUGAUUACAGGCCAAUUCACAAAGUGUUCCAUAUAUAU
Small nuclear RNA from Cricetulus griseus (Chinese hamster), 107 nucleotides. Lineage: Eukaryota; Metazoa; Chordata; Mammalia; Rodentia; Cricetidae. The record is from Ensembl.